UACAGGGGGGGCAAGCGUUGUUCGGAAUUACUGGGCGUAAAGCGCGUGUAGGCGGCAACGCAAGUCGGAUGUGAAAUCCCAUGGCUCAACCAUGGAAGUGCACCCGAAACUGCGUCGCUAGAGUCCUGGAGAGGAAGGUGGAAUGCUUGGUGUAGAGGUGAAAUUCGUAGAUAUCAGGCGGAACACCGGUGGCGAAGGCGGCCUUCUGGACAGUGACUGACGCUGAGACGCGAAAGCGUGGGGAGCAAACAGG
Molecule: ribosomal RNA, 253 nt
Filed under: uncultured bacterium
Lineage: Bacteria
Description: partial 16S ribosomal RNA
Rfam family: Bacterial small subunit ribosomal RNA
Source: RNAcentral